GACGUAGGGGGCGAGCGUUGUCCGGAUUCAUUGGGCGUAAAGCGCGCGCAGGCGGCCCGGUAAGUCGGAUGUGAAAACCCAGAGGCUCAACCUCUGGCCGUCAUUCGAUACUGCCGGGCUAGAGGCAGGUAGGGGAGAUCGGAAUUCCCGGUGUAGCGGUGAAAUGCGCAGAUAUCGGGAGGAACACCGGUGGCGAAGGCGGAUCUCUGGGCCUGUCCUGACGCUCAGGCGCGAAAGCUGGGGGAGCGAACAGGAUUAGAUACCC
Molecule: ribosomal RNA, 265 nt
Filed under: uncultured bacterium
Lineage: Bacteria
Description: partial 16S ribosomal RNA
Rfam family: Bacterial small subunit ribosomal RNA
Source: RNAcentral